UACGUAGGGACCAAGCGUUGUUCGGAUUUACUGGGCGUAAAGGGCGCGUAGGCGGCGUGGUAAGUCACUUGUGAAAUCUCCGAGCUUAACUCGGAACGGUCAAGCGAUACUGCUGUGCUAGAGUGCAGAAGGGGCAAUCGGAAUUCUUGGUGUAGCGGUGAAAUGCGUAGAUAUCAAGAGGAACACCUGAGGUGAAGACGGGUUGCUGGGCUGACACUGACGCUGAGGCGCGAAAGCUAGGGUAGCAAACGGG
RNAcentral lists this ribosomal RNA (253 nucleotides) under uncultured bacterium. RNAcentral describes it as "partial 16S ribosomal RNA". It matches the Rfam family "Bacterial small subunit ribosomal RNA", at positions 524 to 776 of the family's 1533-position model. The record is from RNAcentral.